RNAcentral lists this small nuclear RNA (306 nucleotides) under Neogale vison (American mink). RNAcentral describes it as "Neovison vison (American mink) 7SK RNA (ENSNVIG00000001822.1)". It matches the Rfam family "7SK RNA". From Rfam's summary of the family: 7SK was discovered as an abundant small nuclear RNA in the mid-70s but a possible function has only recently been suggested. Two independent studies have found that 7SK RNA binds the CDK9/cyclin T complex (known as elongation factor P-TEFb). P-TEFb activates transcription by phosphorylating the C-terminal domain of RNA polymerase II. The record is from Rfam by way of RNAcentral. Lineage: Eukaryota; Metazoa; Chordata; Mammalia; Carnivora; Mustelidae.
GGAUGUGAUGGCAAUCUGGCUUCGACACCUGUCACCCCAUUGAUCACCAGGGUUGAUUCGGCUGAUCAGGCUGGCUAGGCGGGUGUCCCAUUCCUCCCUCAUGGCUCCAUGUGCGUCCCUCCAGAAGCUGCAAUCUCGGUCGAAGAGGACGACCUUCCCUGAUAGAGAAGAGGACCGUUCUUCAGUCAGGGUAUACGAGUAGCUGCGCUCCCCUGCUAGAACCUCCAAACAAGCUCUUAAGGAUUAGGGUCAGGAUCAGGGUUAGCUUUUGGGUUAGUAUUCUGGUCAGGCUCAAGGUCUGGGUCA